Molecule: long non-coding RNA, 322 nt
Filed under: Phoenix dactylifera (date palm)
Lineage: Eukaryota; Viridiplantae; Streptophyta; Magnoliopsida; Arecales; Arecaceae
Description: long non-coding RNA (PDAC_LNC014456)
Source: RNAcentral
UUUCCAAGCAGCAGAGUAUGUCAGAUAAUUUAAUGGCAUAUCCUAGGCGCUGAUUAGCUCUCGUCAUCAGGUAUGAGCUCCAAUUAAUGAAUAAAACAGCAGUCAUAGGAAAAAAACAACAGAUUUGAGUAAUUGAGUGAAUGGUAGCUCAACUCUUAAGAACAAUCCAUCAACUUUUAAAGGAUUUGGAUAACAUUUCUUUUGGUUUUCAAGUAGCAACUAAAAUUGUACAAGCGCAUGGCCGACUCUUCUUGAAAGUUUGCCAUCAUCCUCAUUCGACUUUAUUGCAUGCAGGUAUCACAUGCUCUUCAUAUGCUUUCCU